Molecule: ribosomal RNA, 473 nt
Filed under: uncultured bacterium
Lineage: Bacteria
Description: bacterial SSU rRNA
Rfam family: Bacterial small subunit ribosomal RNA
Source: RNAcentral
ACUCCUACGGGAGGCAGCAGUAGGGAAUCUUCCACAAUGGGCGAAAGCCUGAUGGAGCAACGCCGCGUGGGUGAAGAAGGUCUUCGGAUCGUAAAACCCUGUUGUUAGAGAAGAAAGUGCGUGAGAGUAACUGUUCACGUUUCGACGGUAUCUAACCAGAAAGCCACGGCUAACUACGUGCCAGCAGCCGCGGUAAUACGUAGGUGGCAAGCGUUAUCCGGAUUUAUUGGGCGUAAAGGGAACGCAGGCGGUCUUUUAAGUCUGAUGUGAAGGCCUUCGGCUUAACCGGAGUAGUGCAUUGGAAACUGGGAGACUUGAGUGCAGAAGAGGAGAGUGGAACUCCAUGUGUAGCGGUGAAAUGCGUAGAUAUAUGGAAGAACACCAGUGGCGAAAGCGGCUCUCUGGUCUGUAACUGACGCUGAGGUUCGAAAGCGUGGGUAGCAAACAGGAUUAGAUACCCUGGUAGGAUAGCG